UGAGGAAUAUUGGUCAAUGGUCGCUAGACUGAACCAGCCAAGUAGCGUGCGGGAUGAAGGCCCUCCGGGUCGUAAACCGCUUUUAGACGGGGAUAGAAGGGCGUACGUGUACGCCGUAUUGCAUGUACCGUCAGAAAAAGGACCGGCUAAUUCUGUGCCAGCAGCCGCGGUAAUACGGAAGGUCCGGGCGUUAUCCGGAUUUAUUGGGUUUAAAGGGAGCGUAGGCGGACUUUCAAGUCAGUGGUAAAAUCGUGUGGCUCAACCAUACCUCGCCAUUGAAACUGGAAGUCUGGAGUGCACACAGGGGUGCCGGAAUUCAUGGUGUAGCGGUGAAAUGCUUAGAUAUCAUGAAGAACUCCGAUCGCGAAGGCAAGUGCCCGGGGUGCAACUGACGCUGAGGCUCGAAGGUGCGGGUAUCGAACAGGAUUAGAUACC
Molecule: ribosomal RNA, 435 nt
Filed under: uncultured bacterium
Lineage: Bacteria
Description: bacterial SSU rRNA
Rfam family: Bacterial small subunit ribosomal RNA
Source: RNAcentral